Molecule: long non-coding RNA, 206 nt
Filed under: Theobroma cacao (cacao)
Lineage: Eukaryota; Viridiplantae; Streptophyta; Magnoliopsida; Malvales; Malvaceae
Description: long non-coding RNA (TCAC_LNC000918)
Source: RNAcentral
UGAAUUUAUGGUUCUAAUUGAUCGGCUUAUGACAAUAUUGGCAUGAAUGGCUGAAUUGGUAUUUGUGUUGAAAUGUAUAAACUAUUGUUUGCCUUGAUAGGCUAGAUAAUGAUAAAAUUGUCAUGUCAUGCUGUUGCAAAUUUUAUUGUAUGGUGGGUUUAGCUUGCUGCAGUGGGCUGGUUCUGUGGACUAGCCUAUUAGAGGGG